UACGGAGGAUGCGAGCGUUAUCCGGAUUUAUUGGGUUUAAAGGGUGCGUAGGCGGGAUGCCAAGUCAGCGGUAAAAAUGCGGUGCUCAACGCCGUCGAGCCGUUGAAACUGGCGUUCUUGAGUGGGCGAGAAGUAUGCGGAAUGCGUGGUGUAGCGGUGAAAUGCAUAGAUAUCACGCAGAACUCCGAUUGCGAAGGCAGCAUACCGGCGCCCUACUGACGCUGUGGCACGAAAGCGUGGGUAUCGAACAGG
Molecule: ribosomal RNA, 252 nt
Filed under: uncultured bacterium
Lineage: Bacteria
Description: partial 16S ribosomal RNA
Rfam family: Bacterial small subunit ribosomal RNA
Source: RNAcentral